Molecule: non-coding RNA, 519 nt
Organism: Plectropomus leopardus (leopard coralgrouper)
Lineage: Eukaryota; Metazoa; Chordata; Actinopteri; Perciformes; Serranidae
Source: RefSeq, a predicted model, not a curated record
UACUAUUGAUUCUGACAUUGACAUGAAUUUGUUUGCGUCUUUAGAUCCGUUCAAUCCUCUCAAGAAGAUUACCUUCAACAAGCACAGGCUCUGGCUCUCAUCCAACAAGGAGUACAACUGGUGGCAGGUCUUCUAUUAGCGGACUCAGCUGGAUAAGUCGACUUCGUGGAAGAAGAUAUAUCUACCGUGUGUCAGAAGCUGCGAACUCAAGAAGCACUGGUCCAUCUGAGUCAUUCAGCAAUAUCUGAAUCACCUCAAACUGCAGAGAUCAUAUUAAUGUUCUCGUUCAAAAGGUCUGCAAGUUAUUGUAAAAUGUAUCUGUGCAUAAUCAUAAAGUUAAAAGCAUGAACUUCACUGGGAUGAUAUUGUAAAAGCUAGUGCAAUAAGAAUGGUUUGUUUUAAUGUCGAAAGAAAAUGGUAUACUUCCAAACAGCGUUAGAGGAUGUUUGCAUGGUACUGCUCCUGUUUCCGUUUCUGUGAUAUGAUUUGAAAUGUAUAGUUCAGUGACAGAACAUUAUA